This 496-nucleotide ribosomal RNA is filed under the name uncultured bacterium. RNAcentral describes it as "partial 16S ribosomal RNA". It matches the Rfam family "Bacterial small subunit ribosomal RNA", at positions 28 to 506 of the family's 1533-position model. The record is from RNAcentral.
GAUGAACGCUGGCGGCGUGCCUAAUACAUGCAAGUCGAGCGAACAGACGAGGAGCUUGCUCCUCUGACGUUAGCGGCGGACGGGUGAGUAACACGUGGAUAACCUACCUAUAAGACUGGGAUAACUUCGGGAAACCGGAGCUAAUACCGGAUAAUAUAUUGAACCGCAUGGUUCAAUAGUGAAAGACGGUUUUGCUGUCACUUAUAGAUGGAUCCGCGCCGCAUUAGCUAGUUGGUAAGGUAACGGCUUACCAAGGCAACGAUGCGUAGCCGACCUGAGAGGGGGAUCGGCCACACGGGAACUGAGACACGGUCCAGACUCCUACGGGAGGCAGCAGUAGGGAAUCUUCCGCAAGGGGCGAAAGCCUGACGGAGCAACGCCGCGUGAGUGAUGAAGGUCUGCGGAUCGUAAAACUCUGUUAUUAGGGAAGAACAAAUGUGUAAGUAACUAUGCACGUCUUGACGGUACCUAAGCAGAAAGCCACGGCUAACUACGU